Molecule: non-coding RNA, 395 nt
Organism: Erysipelotrichaceae bacterium 3_1_53
Lineage: Bacteria; Bacillati; Bacillota; Erysipelotrichia; Erysipelotrichales; Erysipelotrichaceae
Source: Rfam
CAAAUGGAGAGUUUGAUCCUGGCUCAGGAUGAACGCUGGCGGCAUGCCUAAUACAUGCAAGUCGAACGAAGUCUCUAGGGAGCUUGCUUCCAAAGAGACUUAGUGGCGAACGGGUGAGUAACACGUAGGUAACCUGCCCAUGUGUCUGGGAUAACUGCUGGAAACGGUAGCUAAAACCGGAUAGGUAUACGGAGCGCAUGCUCUGUAUAUUAAAGCACCUCUCAAGGUGUGAACAUGGAUGGACCUGCGGCGCAUUAGCUAGUUGGUGAGGUAACGGCCCACCAAGGCGAUGAUGCGUAGCCGGCCUGAGAGGGUAAACGGCCACAUUGGGACUGAGACACGGCCCAAACUCCUACGGGAGGCAGCAGUAGGGAAUUUUCGUCAAUGGGGGGAAC